AGCUCCAAUAGCGUAUAUUAAAGUUGUUGCAGUUAAAAAGCUCGUAGUUGAAUUUCUGGUGGGAGCGAUCGGUCCAUCCUUCAUUGGUUGGAACCUGAUUGUCUCCUGCCAUCCAUGGAGAGAACUUAUCUGGCAUUAAGUUGUCGGGUUGGCAAUCUUCAUCUUUUACUGUAGAAAAAAUUAGAGUGUUCAAAGCAGGCUUAUGCCGUUGAAUAUAUUAGCAUGGAAUAAUAAGAUAGGACUAUGGUACUAUUUUGUUGGUUUGUGC
Molecule: ribosomal RNA, 268 nt
Filed under: uncultured eukaryote
Lineage: Eukaryota
Description: partial small subunit ribosomal RNA
Rfam family: Eukaryotic small subunit ribosomal RNA
Source: RNAcentral